Molecule: ribosomal RNA, 253 nt
Filed under: uncultured bacterium
Lineage: Bacteria
Description: partial 16S ribosomal RNA
Rfam family: Bacterial small subunit ribosomal RNA
Source: RNAcentral
UACGUAGGGUGCGAGCGUUAAUCGGAAUUACUGGGCGUAAAGCGUGCGCAGGCGGUUUUGUAAGCCAGAUGUGAAAUCCCCGGGCUUAACCUGGGAAUGGCAUUUGGGACUGCAAGGCUUGAAUCUGGCAGAGGGGGGUAGAAUUCCACGUGUAGCAGUGAAAUGCGUAGAGAUGUGGAGGAACACCGAUGGCGAAGGCAGCCCCCUGGGUCAAGAUUGACGCUCAUGCACGAAAGCGUGGGGAGCAAACAGG